UCGAGAAUUUUUCACAAUGGGGGAAACCCUGAUGGAGCGACGCCGCGUGGGGGAUGAAUGGCUUCGGCCCGUAAACCCCUGUCAUUUGCGAACAAACCUCAUGCAUGAACAAUGCAUGAAUUGAUUGUAGCGGAAGAGGAAGGGACGGCUAACUCUGUGCCAGCAGCCGCGGUAAUACAGAGGUCCCAAGCGUUGUUCGGAUUCACUGGGCGUAAAGGGUGCGUAGGUGGUCGGGUAAGUCUGAUGUGAAAUCUCGCAGCUCAACUGCGAAACUGCAUUGGAUACUAUCCGGCUGGAGGAUUGGAGGGGAGACUGGAAUUCUUGGUGUAGCAGUGAAAUGCGUAGAUAUCAAGAGGAACACCAGUGGCGAAGGCGAGUCUCUAGACAAUUCCUGACACUGAGGCACGAAAGCUAGGGGAGCAAACAGG
Molecule: ribosomal RNA, 428 nt
Filed under: uncultured bacterium
Lineage: Bacteria
Description: bacterial SSU rRNA
Rfam family: Bacterial small subunit ribosomal RNA
Source: RNAcentral